Non-coding RNA from Knufia fluminis, 105 nucleotides. The record is from the annotation of a GenBank genome assembly. Lineage: Eukaryota; Fungi; Ascomycota; Eurotiomycetes; Chaetothyriales; Trichomeriaceae.
UCUAACAAUGUUUCAGGUGGUUAAGGCGAUAGACUCGAACGCUUUACGCAUUUGUGGUAUCUAUUGGGUUCGCCCGCACAGGUUCAAAUCCUGUGGUUGUCGGAA